AGUCGAGCGACGCAUGCCGGAGGGGUAACCCACUGGCAUGACGGAGCGGCGAACGGGUGAGUAACACGUGAGCAACCUGCCCCACAGAUCGGGAUAGCCCAGGGAAACCUGGAUUAAUACCGGAUACCCUCGGAGGACGGCAUGGUCCAUCGAGGAAAUGCCUUUGUGCUGUGGGAUGUGCCGCGACUUAUGAGCUAGUUGGUGGGGUAACUGGCCUACCAAGGCAUUGACGAGUAGCUGGUCUGAGAGGACGAUCAGCCACACUUGGGACUGAGACACCGGCCCAGACUCCUACGGAGGCAGCAGCGGGGGAAUCUUGCGCAAUGGGCGAAAGCCUGACGCAGCAACGCCGCGUGGGGGAUGAAGGCCUUCCGGUUGUAAAACCCCUUUCAGGAGGGAAGAAAUUGACGGUACCUCCAGAAGAACACCGGCCAACUACGUGCCAGCAGCCCGCGGUAAUACGUAGGGGUGCGAGCCGUAAUCCGGAAUCAUUGGGCCGUAAAGAAGCUCUAGGCCGGU
Molecule: ribosomal RNA, 519 nt
Filed under: uncultured bacterium
Lineage: Bacteria
Description: bacterial SSU rRNA
Rfam family: Bacterial small subunit ribosomal RNA
Source: RNAcentral